Oxyura jamaicensis (ruddy duck) is the source of this 724-nucleotide long non-coding RNA. RefSeq lists it as uncharacterized. The record is from RefSeq and is a predicted model, not a curated record. Lineage: Eukaryota; Metazoa; Chordata; Aves; Anseriformes; Anatidae. The transcript has 8 exons.
UCCCUACAAGUCACUGGAUACUGCAGCUGCAUUUCUGUGUGCUACAGAACUCUCUUGUAGGAGGAGGAAGGAAGACCAUCCAUUCUGGAUUAUGCAGAAGUGGUAGUUGUCCUUGAGGUGGAGCAGACUAUUCAGUCAAAAUCAGCAAAAAGAGAAGGGAGAACAUGCUGCUUUUGAGGUUGAAGCUACGCUUCUUCCUGUCCCUUAUGCGACUUACAGCCUCUCAUUUGGAAGCGCUGUGUGGCUGGAGAAGCAGGUCCAACUGUACACAUCAAAGCCAAUAUUGCAUUAAAAUUAAUGAGACGAAGCAUAAAACCAAUCUAACGUUAAAAAGUUCAACAUGCCUGUCUGUCAUAGGAAAACUUAAUAAUAAGUGAACUGAGUGGAGAGAAGAACUGGCCACACAAAAUCCUGAACAAGCAAUUUUAUUGAAGAAACUAGACAAGACAGGAACUACUUUCUUGUGGUCCAGUUGAGAUCCAGUCAGACACAUCAGCAGAUCUCUCAGCUGGUUUGGAGACCAUGAAUGCAAGGGACCCACAGAAAGACCUUCCUUCUCAAGUGAAAUGGAAUGUUUAAUUCUAUUAUCUACUUCAGCUCUGACCACAGGUCAAUAUUGUUCAAGAUCAUUUGCUCACUACUGCUGGUAUCUAAAAAUGGCAUAUUGGCUUCUAAUUCAGCCUACUCUAAUAAGCCUAUCUUGACAGUUGUCAUGAAAUACUGA